RNAcentral lists this ribosomal RNA (253 nucleotides) under uncultured bacterium. Its description in RNAcentral is "partial 16S ribosomal RNA". It matches the Rfam family "Bacterial small subunit ribosomal RNA", at positions 524 to 776 of the family's 1533-position model. The record is from RNAcentral.
UACGGAGGUGGCGAGCGUUGCUCGGAUUUACUGGGCGUAAAGGGCACGUAGGCGGCCUUGUAAGCCCCAUCUUAAAUGCUCUGUCUCAAGCAGAGUAGGUGAUGGGGGACUGCAGGGCUAGAGGACUGGAGAGGCCAACGGAAUUCCCGGUGUAAGGGUGAAAUCUGUAGAGAUCGGGAGGAACACCAGUGGCGAAAGCGGUUGGCUGGACAGUUUCUGACGCUGAGGUGCGAAAGCUAGGGGAGCAAACAGG